This 71-nucleotide transfer RNA is filed under the name Camelus bactrianus (Bactrian camel). It matches the Rfam family "tRNA". From Rfam's summary of the family: Transfer RNA (tRNA) molecules are approximately 80 nucleotides in length. Lineage: Eukaryota; Metazoa; Chordata; Mammalia; Artiodactyla; Camelidae. RNAcentral also lists the same sequence under 1 other name. The record is from Rfam by way of RNAcentral.
GAGGCUGUAGCUCGGUGGUAGGGCAUGUGCUUAGCAUGCAUGAGAUCCUGGGUUCAAUCCCCAGCACCUCU